UUUGUCGACUCUGGACCUGAACUUUUGCAGCAGAACACCAUGAAAGCAAAAUACAUCCAUGCCUACUGGUCUCACUUGUAAUCGAAAUUGGCUAACCUCAACUAGGCCCAUCAUGAUGCUCAGUGGAUGGUCUUGUCCUGAUGCUGAUGCUUGAUGCUUGAUGGCAGGGUGGUGGCUGCUGAAGACUGGCAUGAUGGAAGUUUGUUAAAAUAAGACAAUAAUGCAGUUGGCCAC
Molecule: long non-coding RNA, 234 nt
Filed under: Mustela putorius furo (domestic ferret)
Lineage: Eukaryota; Metazoa; Chordata; Mammalia; Carnivora; Mustelidae
Description: lncRNA (ENSMPUG00000026043.1)
Source: RNAcentral